Antechinus flavipes (yellow-footed antechinus) is the source of this 102-nucleotide small nuclear RNA. The record is from RefSeq and is a predicted model, not a curated record. Lineage: Eukaryota; Metazoa; Chordata; Mammalia; Dasyuromorphia; Dasyuridae.
ACACUCACUUUAGCAGCAUAUAUACUAAAAUUGUAACAAUAAAGACUAACAUAGCCCCUGAGGAAAGAUAACAUGCAAAUUUAUGAAGUGUUCAUAUUUUUA